GGAAGUUCAUAAGGCUGGGGUCAUCUUGUUUGCACAUUAACAGUAAGUACAAUACAGUAGCAGGCAGGAAAAACAUCAGCAUGAAGGUCCCAAAUCUUCCACCAAACUCUAGCUCCUUUGUUUUUGACGAUGGUUUCUCCGGAGUUUUUAUUGCCUCAAAAAUCUUUUUCUCUGCAUAGAUCUCUUCUUUUUUCUUUUCUUCUCUUCUUGAACGCAAGCUGUAUUGAUCAAGCACACGCUCCAUUUCCACGUCUGGUUUCAAUUUUUGUUGCUCCAAGAGUUUGCUGGAUGUGUCAUUUCUUUCCGUACUGUCAGGUUCACCAUUGUACCUUCUGGUGUUGUUCUCACUUGGUUUCGGUGGAGCUAAGCUGGUUUCCUGAAUAAUUUUCUUUUUGUCUUCUUUAUGCUCUCUGCUAUGGGAAGAAGAGCGACGUCUGCCUUUUGCUGGCCGACCAGGAGAUCUGGAUCGAGAUCUGCUUCUACUUCUUCUGGAAGGAGAACUUGAGGAAGACUGGCUUUUCCUCUGCUUGAAUGAUGACUGUAACCUUAUAUCACUUUCCUUCAAAGCAAGUUCGGUACCAUCUUUGUACUUCACAGUAUAAAGAUGAGAAGCAUCAUCAUAACUAGUCACUUGCACUUCAUAGUACAGGACGCUUCCUGGCCAACGACCCAUCACCACCUCACCAUCGGCAUACUUCCGGUUUGGCAUUUUCCAAAAGCAAUACCUGGCGCCCGCCCCCACCGGGACAGGCAGGAGGCGCCUCCGCGGUGCGGCGGGACCCGGCCCCGAGCGCGGUGCUCCUCAGCCGCGGGAACAACCGCCCUGAGCGACGGUUAGGGCCGCGCGACGGUCCGGCCCCCUAGCCCGCCCCUUCCCGGCGCCAAGCGCGCUGAUUGGCCGGGAAGGGCUGUUUGAAUCGCUGCUGGCUCCACGCCAUUGGCUGCCGGGCGAUGGCGCGGUCCUCGCGCCCGGCGCCGUGCCGCUGACGGGAAGCCCGCCCCCUGACGGCGGCCGAUAACGGGCAGGAAGAGCGGGCAUUCAGGGCCGCCGCCGCCAUGGCAGCGCAGGGUAGGCCUCAGCCCGCCUGCGCCGCGCGGAGCCCGCCGCCGUCCGUAAACAACGAGGGCCUGGGCGGCGGGAGCGCCCCGCUGAGGCGGGGAUAGGGGGAGUUUACCUGUGAAAUAACUGCCCUGUGCCCAGCGUUCGGAUCUCGGGAAAAUAGCACAUCCUUAAUGAUUAAUAGACAGACUGUUUGUUUGUGUGGCAACUUCAAAGGCUCUCCACGUUGUCUGUGUUGUGACACAGGCUGACAAGACCUGACAAAAAAGGCAUCAAAGUGAGGUUAAAGUCUCAGUAAAAACAGAGCCAGGUUAAAAAGCAGAGCUAAAUAAGUGCAGUUGGAAUGAAUUUGUUCUUCAGCUGUACGAAGGCCAUCAGCUUUUAUCUGGCAGGUAUCUAACAACUUGCUAUAGGAAAAGCCUGGAUGAGAGAGCUGUUGGGCCAUUAGGAACUGUUUAUUAUCAACAGGUUCGCUGGCAGGAUAGAAAUAUGGAUACAUGGAUUGAACCUUCUCAGAUCAACUGUUAAAUGGAACAAAUUUGAAGCCAGUUAGACCAUCAUCAGCAGCAUACUGCCUCUGCACUGCUACAAGACAAGUUUUCUAUGUCUGCACAAAGACCUCAGAAGCAGAGAGGGUUGCCCAUCAACACAAAGCGUCUGAUCUCACAUGAAACUGACUAAAGGGUUCUCCAGCUUUUCAUCUUAACAAGAAACAUUAAGCACUGCAACAUCACGUCUACCUGCAAACACCAAGACAAUCCUAUUCCCUUCGGAUUUGAUUCCUUCAAAUUCCAACCCUUUGGUUUCACUAAGAAACACAGGAGGGAUAUGAGAGGUUGUUGCUGCUGCUGGAGAAUGUCCCGUGGAGGGCAUCUGCCACCUUUCCUUCCCCUGAGUGUCAUCCCUAAAACGCUCCUCAGCUGGAGGAGGAAAGAGGAAUGAAGAAUUUGACAUUACUUGCGGGAGUGAAAUCUAAAUUAACUGUGACUAUCAGCUAUGAAGGCCUCCAUAUGCUAUGCUUACUCACAUGAUUCUACUUACGUAUGUAGUCCUGGGAAGAUGAGAUACACCAGCUGGUUUUGGCCAAACAGGGGACCUCUGUCCAAAUAAUGACAGCAAGACUAGAAUUACGUGUCUCAGCUAUCGUAUUUUCUUUAAUUCAAUAAUUUAAUCUAUCAAAAGGUGUAAGUCUGGAGGUAUCAACAGAUGUUAAUACAUGACUCACAACUCCAAACUGGUGACCGUUUGAGUCCCCUGAAUUAUUAACCAGGUUAUCGCUGCCUGUAAUAUUAUUAACUAUUGAUAUUACUGCACGUGCUGAUAAUUCAGCUUUAUACCUCUGGAAGCUCUUAGAUGUAUCUAUUCCAAAUGCUGUAUGAAAACUCAGGCCCCACAGUAGAGGCUUCAAGUUAAUCAAGUCUGUGGAACUAAGUUCAGGUAGUAUCCAAACCUGUCUGCUUUAUUUAAUGAUCUGAAAACAGUUCCUGAAACAAAGUUUUGCUACAAAUCCUUUGACCUUUCUUUUUCAUUGCUACAUAAUAGUGUUUACAUAUACACUGCCUAGCUUGCAUUUUUUCAUCUUGCACAAAAAGAAAGUGUGUGGCUUACAAAAUAAAUCCUACCUCCUGAGCAUUCUUAUCCGGUUGUUAGGGUAGUAUGGUUAGGUUGUGGUUGGACUCAAUGAUCUUUAAGGUCUUUUCCAACCUGAGUGAUUCUAUGAUUCUAUGAAAUUCAAAGAGCAGAGAAUGAACAAAACUUUUAAAAUACAGGUUCUAAAAUACAGACCUUCUAUCUUGUUGCCAGCCUGAGCAGGUUGAGAAACAUUACGAUAAAUGCCCUCAGUAGAGGCUUCAGAGGCGGGUGGGGUAAUUCGCUUCUAUUUCCCCUCUUGAUUAGCUCUUUGCUUCCGUGGGUUAAAGCACUCAUAAGGCUCACUGUAUUAUUAAAAAGCACACCUUACUAUAAAAACAUGCAUUUGUAGGAAAGUAUGUACUAUAUACGUAAAUAUUUCUAUUCAUAUAUAUACAUACACACACUGUACAUAUGUGCAUAUAUUAUACAGACUACAGAAGUCAUAUACUUGCUAUGUUUCAACUGCUGUUGAAGGACUAAGGUCGAUCCAUUUUUUAAAAGCUUUUGUGGAAAUUAAGCAAUGUGAAUGUGCACAGGCACUUGGGGGUUUGCUUUGAUCAGCUUAUGUUGAUUGUGGAAGAGGUUUCUCGUUAUGUAUAAAUUUAUAGUGCCUCAAAUUUGAACUUAAAGCCACGCAGAGGAACUGCACGCUCACAAACGGUACGGAUGGGAAUAAAUUAAGCUGGGCAUUUGCAUUCUGGGAAGUUGUGCAAAAUGUUUAUCUUCAGAAACAGCUUUUAAAACACGUUCAAAACUAUCAACAAGCACUGUGCUCAGCAGUGAGGAGAGGGAUACGGACACAUGCAAACCAACACCGGCUCUCUAAAGAGAAGCAGAAAAAAAGCACAUUGAAACUUUGAUCUCACAAACUUCCUCCUUGUAUUGUCGGUGAAUUUAUAAAUAUGGUUCAUUAUUGAAGGGAAGUUGAUGCAAUUCUUGAAGCCAUGAGAUAAGAGUUUUGGCUACCGUGCCUUCUGUCGGGCUGCUUACCUUCCCAUUUUCACAGCAUGGCUGUUAAAUUACUCCAGCAGUAAGCCCUUGAAACUGUCCACUUCUGAAGGACUGUGAAAAGUAUUUAUAAGGCAUGUCAGAGUUGUGUGCAUUGAAGAGUUGUAAAUGUUUAAUCAGAAUGCGAUUUUAAUUCUAGAAUAAGGUAGAAAACGAAGUUACUUAAAUAUAUUCUUAAGGGAACUCUUGGGUUCCAAGACUCUCAAG
Molecule: long non-coding RNA, 3907 nt
Filed under: Gallus gallus (chicken)
Lineage: Eukaryota; Metazoa; Chordata; Aves; Galliformes; Phasianidae
Source: RNAcentral